RNAcentral lists this ribosomal RNA (253 nucleotides) under uncultured bacterium. RNAcentral describes it as "partial 16S ribosomal RNA". It matches the Rfam family "Bacterial small subunit ribosomal RNA", at positions 524 to 776 of the family's 1533-position model. The record is from RNAcentral.
UACAGAGGGUGCAAGCGUUAAUCGGAAUUACUGGGCGUAAAGCGCGCGUAGGUGGUUCGUUAAGUUGGAUGUGAAAGCCCCGGGCUCAACCUGGGAACUGCAUUCAAAACUGACGAGCUAGAGUAUGGUAGAGGGUGGUGGAAUUCCCUGUGUAGCGGUGAAAUGCGUAGAUAUAGGAAGGAACACCAGUGGCGAAGGCGACCACCUGGACUGAUACUGACACUGAGGUGCGAAAGCGUGGGGAGCAAACAGG